Molecule: long non-coding RNA, 2549 nt
Filed under: Heterocephalus glaber (naked mole-rat)
Lineage: Eukaryota; Metazoa; Chordata; Mammalia; Rodentia; Bathyergidae
Description: lncRNA (ENSHGLG00100043388.1)
Source: RNAcentral
CGGGCGCGGCUGUGCGGUAACCAUGGUGCUCAGCGCCGCAGGCCGACAUGGAACAGCCAGAUGCUUUUCAACCCCACUUCUUCAGAACCACUGAGGACCUUUUGUAAAAUAGAGAUUCUGAGUCGUGUUCAUACUAAACUGGCAUGUCCAAAGUGUGAGGCCUGAGAUCCAGUUUUUUCUUAAUUUAAUUAAGUUAUGUGAGUGGGAGAAACAGUAGGUUCGGGAACCAGUGUCGUAGCUUGGACGGGGCUUCUGAAGUCCUGGGCCUCGGGCUGGCCAUGCCCCCUGGCUCACGUAGGGGCAGCCAGACUCUCCCGUUGCAGGGGGACAGGAACACGGGGUGGCCAGAGGGAACCGAGAGCCGCUCCUCUGCCGGGGCUUCGUGGAGGUGGGGAAGAUGGGAAGACCAGCCCAGCCAAGCCUCCGCAGGUGAAAGCACUGAGGUGAUCUCACCCACGUCCUCAUCUUACACCCAGAGGGAAACACCGAGCUCAGCGUCCACGGUGAUUUCCUCAGGGUCCAGCAGCAAGGCAGAGUCAGCGGGGCUGAACCUGGGUCUUUCUGACUCCUUGUCACCGGGCUGCUUUACUUCCUGCGCUGCUGGCCUCUACAGCGAGGUGAAAUCACCCACUUCCCUCUCUUGCGUCCCCCUGGGAACUGGGGACACUUGCUUUCACGUCCUGACCUCCUGAGCCGUUGCCCACUCUCCGAACACAGAAGGGACUCAAGUGUUAGGGUUGCCUGACGCAGUCGGUGUGCUCCUCAGCCACAAUCCCUGGCCAGAGAGAGACUGCUGAUAACUUUAUGCCCAAAGCAGCUUGCACUUGCCCUGCGGGACCGAGGGGCAAAAUCUGAGACCUGGAGACACACAGCCUGCACUGCCUCAACCGGUUUUGCAAGAGAAGCCCCUAGAGCGGAUAUAAUUUGAAGUUGCUGCCUUGCCUUGGGCUCAGCUGUUUCACGAACUCAGGUCUUCUGAGAGGAUUUGUUUCCUGCCUUCCUAGGACCCAGGAUGAUCCCUUCACCUAGGGGUGACCAGGCCUGGGUUGGCCCAGUCCCCCACUCAGAUGGCACAGUCACAGUGUUCAGUGGGUACAAAGCGUGCACCGGGCGGAAAGCCAGAUCCAACCCUCUGCUGGAGAAGGGACGCUGAACAAGUCCUCAUGCAAAUGAUUAACCAAAUGAGCCCAAGGCGUGAAAUAGUGGGUUGAGGGAGCACAGUGGUGUUGGCGCGUUGGCCAGCUUCGGGUUCACGGAAAAUUCUCAGACAAGAUAAAGAGGAUGAGGAUGAGGGUGACACAUGGAGGGUUCUGGACAUACUGUGGGAGAGGAAGAGUCAGACCAGCUCCCCUGGGCCACACGCGUACCGCCACCUUCUGCCCCAGAGCUCCAAACCUAGUCUGCCACAGCGCUGCAAAGCACAGGGCAGCUAACCAGACAGGGAGGCCACUCCAUCUGAGCCACGGCAGGAAUUAUGACAAUAUCAACACUGACCUCUACCCAGCGCCUCUGUGUGCCUCUGCUGACGUCAACACACACAACUGUGUCUCCAGGACAACCCAUGAAUAGGAAAUGGUGAUUGUGGGCCCUUUUGCAGGUGAGAAAAGACUCGUGAGAAUGAGAUUAUGGGGCCAUUGACCUUGGCAGGUCCACCAGCAAAGACGAGCAAACAUGGCGGUCAGGGCUGACUCUAGACAGACCGUCUCCGUGGCCCAGGCCUCAGGUGCAUCUUGCAGGGUGGGGCCAUGCCCACCGAGCAUUUCAGAAGGUGCUCAUGGCACUUCACACUUGGGGCCAGGCUUGUGUGUUACAGUGGUGUGGCCCAGGCAGGCGGGGAACCCAAGCCGGACCUGAACCCCAUCUGUGUCUCCACCUCUGACUAGCAGCAAAGUCCCUCCGGCCCGUGGGCUCCAGGCAUCGGCAGGACUCUCUGAGGUCGGGGCCUGUGUCUGGGGGCCUCUCACAGCAGUGCGCUUCACAACGUGGCCUCUGAUUUUUUCUCCAUGUGCCCCACAUGAGUGGGGGAGGCCAAACAUGAGGAAAUGGGAGAUCAGAGCCAAGGGAGCCGCCGGGGACCAGAAAACACUUCGGGCGAGAAGGCCCCCUGAUGUCACAGGCGGACACACUCUACAGACAGAAAAGCUCACUGCUCUCCCUGCUCGCGUCUUCCUCUUUGGUGGUUUCUGCAUGCAAGUUCACUUUUCUGAUGAAAAGUAAAGAAGGCGCCUGUCACUGGCGAGCUUGUGCCGUGUGCCAGCCACAUCACGUCUCCCACCCCUCUGCGCGUAGAAUGGAAUAGCGGGGUCUCCAGCAGCUGAGUGCCUCCAAGGUCAGGCAGCUGGUUCAGCUGGAGUCAGGAUUUGAACCCAAGCCCGGCAGAUUCCAGAGCGCAUUCUCCUCAUUACGCUAUAGGGUAUGAAAGUGUCUGCCAGGGUUAUUAUUGUGUCAAAGAGCUUCCCAGCCAAGCUUUUCCUCAAACCUACAAGACUUUGAGUAUGAUCUGUCAUUUUCCUUAGGAGCCUAACAGGUUCUUCACACAUCAGUCACUG